AAGACCCACACAACACUCCCCGGAGCAAACCAGGUUCUUUGACUUUGCAGACGAGAAAGAAAAGGACACAUUAUUUCAAAAAAGUGUGGCAGAGGUGCUCCUCCCUGAGGAUGAUAUUCGCCAAUGUUGGUGUACCUUCGACAGAUGCAUUUGAAGAUGAGGGUGAAGCUGUUUGUUCCAGAACCAGCUGUGCAAGGUGUGCCGGUUCCACCCCUCCGGGAAGGAAAGCUACCACAACUUGUUAAUGCUGUCAUCAAUCGAGG
Long non-coding RNA from Salvelinus sp. IW2-2015, 263 nucleotides. RefSeq lists it as uncharacterized. The record is from RefSeq and is a predicted model, not a curated record. NCBI's taxonomy places the organism in Eukaryota, Metazoa, Chordata, Actinopteri, Salmoniformes, Salmonidae.